CUCAACCUUUUGUUUGUGUUCGGACGCAGCAAUCUGGCAACUGAGAGCAUUUCAUCUGUGUCAUCAGUGUGAGUGAGGCUGCUUUAAAGAGAAGAGGAGAGGCUUCUGGCACGUUUGGGAGAGCGUCUCAGCACAAUGAUCCCCGACAGCCGCCAACGGUGGACCGAGACGGAGCAGUCGAUAGAUGGAGCCCUGACAGUGCUGGCGCUCUCCUGGAAAACGAUCGGAGAAACGACUCUCGUUGUUUCUGAUAUUCUUUGCUGCAGAUGUUUCUGAGAACACGUUUAAAAACGUGCAGACGUACGGCUGAGUCUCGGUGGCUUCUUCUAUGUGUUGGUGGAGACGGAGAAGACCUGGAAGAUCUACACAGACUAUUUCUGCAUUUGUGGAAUUUGCUCAUAGAUUUUAGAUUCUGAGUUGACUGAGUGCCACUUAUUCCUCUUUUAUUGUAUCUGGCACUAAGUCAGGCUUUUGUGAAUGUCAGCAGCUUUGUAAGUUGUUGAGUGACCCAGGAUGAAAAGUCAAAGUAUUUCAGUUCAUCCUGAGGGGAAACAUCACUGUCCCAUAUUUUAGGUUGUUACA
This is a long non-coding RNA of Archocentrus centrarchus (flier cichlid), 582 nucleotides long. RefSeq lists it as uncharacterized. The transcript has 3 exons. The record is from RefSeq and is a predicted model, not a curated record. NCBI's taxonomy places the organism in Eukaryota, Metazoa, Chordata, Actinopteri, Cichliformes, Cichlidae.